ACAGGAGGGAGCUUGCUUCCUUGCUGACGAGUGGCGGACGGGUGAGUAAUGCUUGGGAAUCUGUCUUAGGGAGGGGGAUAACCACGGGAAACUGUGGCUAAUACCGCGUAUAAUCGUAAGAUGAGAGGUGUGGGAUUGAAAAACCAUAUGCCCUAAGGUGAGCCCAAGUGAGAUUAGGUAGUUGGUGGGGUAAAGGCCUACCAAGCCGACGAUCUCUAGCUGGUCUGAGAGGAUGACCAGCCACACUGGGACUGAGACACGGCCCAGACUCCUACGGGAGGCAGCAGUGGGGAAUAUUGCGCAAUGGGGGGAACCCUGACGCAGCCAUGCCGCGUGAAUGAAGAAGGCCUUCGGGUUGUAAAGUUCUUUCAGUGGUGAGGAAGGUAAUAAUGUUAAUAGUAUUAUUAAUUGACGUUAGCCACAGAAGAAGCACCGGCUAAUUCCGUGCCAGCAGCCGCGGUAAUACGGAAGGUGCGAGCGUUAAUCGGAAUAACUGGGCGUAAAGGGCACGCAGGCGGUAACUUAAGUGAGGUGUGAAAGCCCAGGGCUUAACCUUGGAAGUGCAUUUCAUACUGAGUUGCUAGAGUACUCUAGGGAGGGGUAGAAUUCCACGUGUAGCGGUGAAAUGCGUAGAGAUGUGGAGGAAUACCGAAGGCGAAGGCAGCCCCUUGGGGAGUAACUGACGCUCAUGUGCGAAAGCGUGGGGAGCAA
This 711-nucleotide ribosomal RNA is filed under the name uncultured bacterium. RNAcentral's name for it is "bacterial SSU rRNA". It matches the Rfam family "Bacterial small subunit ribosomal RNA", at positions 66 to 771 of the family's 1533-position model. The record is from RNAcentral.